UAUUAUGGAUAUUAUGUGGUUGGAUGCAUUAUGAGGGACAUUUACAAUUUCUGCCAUGCUAACAAGCAGGAAACAAUUUCUUCCGGGGAUGCUCAAACGGUGAUCAAUCACAUGGUGGCGAGGCAAGAGCAAGAUUCAGAUUUUUUCUUCAGGUACUUGGUUGAUGAAGCUGGCCAUCUGAAGGCACUGUUCUGGUGUGAUAGUCAAUCCCGACUUGACUACGAGGCUUUCGGAGACGUUAUUGUUUUUUAUAGCACAUACAGAACCAAUAAGUACAAUCUGCCAUUUGUGCCGUUUGUCGGGUUGAAUCACCACCGCAGCACCGUUAUUUUUGCAUGUGGUAUCAUUUCACAUGAAACAAGCCAGGCAUACGAGUGGAUGUUACGGACCUUUUCUGAUGCUAUAGGACUGAAGCAUCCUAUAUCUGUGAUCACGGAUGGGGACCUUGCAAUGCAGAGAGCAAUCAGGGUGGUGUGGCCUGACUCAAACCAUAGGCUCUGUAUAUGGCACAUUCAGCAGAACAUUGUAUGCCAUCUGCAUGAUGACGCGGUAAAGGAGGAAUUCCGAUCUUUCAUAUAUGAUACAUCUUCCAUUGAAGAGCAUGAGAGAAAAUGGUUACACUUCUUAUAACGGAAUAAAGUAACAAGUGAGGACUCCUGGCUGCAUCAGAUGUAUAAGAUGAGAAAACUGUGGUGUGCUCCAUAUCUUGAGGGCCGUUGUUUCCUAGGAUUGAGCAGCAAUCAGCGGAGUGAGAGUUUAAACUCGGUGCUACAUACGCAUCUUGAGGCUAAGCUAACGUUGUUUCAAAUGCUAGAGCACUAUGAGCGUUGCCUUGCGUCGCGACGCUUGAACAAGGCUCUCCAAGACGUCGAGGCCUUACAGUCCGUUCCGUUCACAGAGGAAAAUGCUUCAGUUCUUGAGAAACAUGCCGCGAAAGUUUUCACUCCUGCUAUGUUUAAGUUGGUCUGGAGCAUAGAUGCUAUCAUAAAAUGUGAGAUCAGAGAGGUACUUGAUGCAGCAGAGGUUACCACAUACGUUGUGUCUAAGAAGGAAAGAAUGGAUAAAAAGAUCGAAGUGCGCACGGAGACGAAGGAAGGUAUGCUUCGCAGUAUCAGUUGUUCCUGCCGCAAAUUGGAAUGCGCAGGCACACCAUGUUCCCACAUAUUUUACAUAUUGGGAAUUUUACAAGAAGAAACACUGCCCAUGUGUUGUGUUCCCACUAGGUGGAUAAUGAGUGCAAAAUGUGCAUUCACACCGACCAGAAAGAGCGAGAUGUAUGCAUACUUUGCAGCCCUACAAAGGUACCGUAAGCUAAGGAAUUUUAGUCACACAGCAUGUUUCAAGGCAUGCCACUCUGAUGAGGUGUUUCAGCAUCUAAAAAGGGUUUUGGAAGGACAAGAUGUUUGCAAGGGAUCAACAAGUGAACAAGCUGAUAGCAAGGGAUCAACUAAUGCUCAGGGUAACAGCAUUAGGUUUGGCCCGUUGAUGCCACAAUCGGCUAACCUUGAUGGUGAAGGUUUAGAAAAGGUUCUGGAUCCCGUGCAUGUGUCAGGCCGAGGUGCUCCGAAGAAAAGGCUACAGGCAAAGAUGAAGAAAACCAGAACAAAGGGUAGAUGUAGCUAUUGUCAUGAGGCAGAUGGUCACAAUCGACGUACGUGCGCCAAAUUGAUAGAGGUACCUAAUAUGCCGUAA
This 1692-nucleotide ribosomal RNA is filed under the name Triticum aestivum (bread wheat). Its description in RNAcentral is "partial small subunit ribosomal RNA". The record is from RNAcentral. Lineage: Eukaryota; Viridiplantae; Streptophyta; Magnoliopsida; Poales; Poaceae.